This 400-nucleotide ribosomal RNA is filed under the name uncultured bacterium. RNAcentral describes it as "bacterial SSU rRNA". It matches the Rfam family "Bacterial small subunit ribosomal RNA", at positions 355 to 746 of the family's 1533-position model. The record is from RNAcentral.
UGGGGAAUAUUGGACAAUGGGCGAAAGCCUGAUCCAGCAAUGCCGCGUGUGUGAAGAAGGCCUGCGGGUUGUAAAGCACUUUCAGGAAGGAGAAAGGAGACUAUGUGAAUAGCAUAGCGCUUUUGAUAUUACUUUCAGAAGAAGCACCGGCUAACUCUGUGCCAGCAGCCGCGGUAAUACAGAGGGUGCGAGCGUUAAUCGGAAUAACUGGGCGUAAAGGGUGCGUAGGCGGACCCUUAAGUCAGAUGUGAAAGCCCCGGGCUCAACCUGGGAACAGCAUUUGAAACUGAGGGUCUAGAGCAGAGAAGAGGAGAGUGGAAUUUCAGGUGUAGCGGUGAAAUGCGUAGAUAUCUGAAGGAACACCAGUGGCGAAGGCGGCUCUCUGGUCUCUAGCUGACGC